RNAcentral lists this long non-coding RNA (200 nucleotides) under Daucus carota (carrot). RNAcentral's name for it is "long non-coding RNA (DCAR_LNC006578)". The record is from RNAcentral. Lineage: Eukaryota; Viridiplantae; Streptophyta; Magnoliopsida; Apiales; Apiaceae.
GGAAUCAGAAUUGAUGUGAUCAGAGAGAGUGAAGAUUGGAUGGCUUCAAGCUGCUUGGACAUCUUCUCUUGAGUUGAUUCAAUGAUGGUCAUCCUCUUGUCCAGAGAUUCAUGUGCAGACACCAGCUUCUGAACAUUAUCUCUCAGAGGUAGUAGAGUCCUUUUCUUCUCCAUGUCAUUUGUCUCCUUGAUAUUAGCCAC